GAUGAACGCUGGCGGCGUGCCUAAUACAUGCAAGUCGAGCGAACAGACGAGGAGCUUGCUCCUCUGACGUUAGCGGCGGACGGGUGAGUAACACGUGGAUAACCUACCUAUAAGACUGGGAUAACUUCGGGAAACCGGAGCUAAUACCGGAUAAUAUAUUGAACCGCAUGGUUCAAUAGUGAAAGACGGUUUUGCUGUCACUUAUAGAUGGAUCCGCGCCGCAUUAGCUAGUUGGUAAGGUAACGGCUUACCAAGGCGACGAUGCGUAGCCGACCUGAGAGGGUGAUCGGCCACACUGGAACUGAGACCCGGUCCAGACUCCUACGGGAGGCAGCAGUAGGGAAUCUUCCGCAAUGGGCGAAAGCCUGCCGGAGCAACGCCGCGUGAGUGAUGAAGGUCUUCGGAUCGUAAAACUCUGUUAUUAGGGAGGAACAAAUGUGUAAGUAACUAUGCACGUCUUGACGGUACCUAAUCAGAGAGCCACGGCUAACUACGUG
Molecule: ribosomal RNA, 497 nt
Filed under: uncultured bacterium
Lineage: Bacteria
Description: partial 16S ribosomal RNA
Rfam family: Bacterial small subunit ribosomal RNA
Source: RNAcentral